CUCUCUCUACAUGCACGCUGCUACGCACCCACUACUGUCAGUCGCACAGUCAAAUAAACCCCUUCCUUUCUUACUAUCCCAUUUAAACCCCCCAAAACCCACACUCCUCAUUGAUAACCUCAAAUACACUGGCACCUCGAAGAGGGAUUCCCUUUUCUUUUCUUUUCUGGUUUUCUUUUCUUUUCUAUUGAACCAGGGGAUUCCCUUUUCUUUUCUUUUGUGGUUUUCUUUUAUUUUCUUUUGAACCAGAGGUAGAGAGAGAGUACUUCGAAAAAGCUCCUCAACUUUUUCUUCUUUUUUUUUCUGUAUUUUUCUUUGCCAUCGACAAUGUCAGGGCUCUACACCCACAACUUCUCUCCUUCCAAAGCCGUCUCUCCUCAAAUAAGAAGCACCCCAGACCAUGACAGCCAGUAUUUGUCUGAGCUUUUGGCUGAACAUCAAAAGUUAGCCCCCUUCACGGAAGUCCUCCCUAUCUGUAGCCGUUUACUGAACCAGGAGAUUUUGCGAGUCUCUGGUAGGAUGCCCAACAAAGGUUUUGGGGACCAUGAAAGGCUUCACCUUGCGAGUCCAGUGCCAUUUCCCAAUCUUAAUUUAGGUCUUGGAGGAACAGGCUUUGGUGCUUGGAAUGGUCUUCAACAAGAGCGAUUGGGAUUGCCGCAAACUAUGACAAUGGAUUGGCAAGGUGCUCCUGCAAGCCCAAGCUCUUAUAGUAUAAAGAAGAUUCUACGCCUUGAACUUCCACUUGACAACUACCCUAAUUUCAAUUUUGUUGGUCGUCUGUUAGGGCCCAGGGGCAAUUCACUUAAAAGGGUUGAAGCAUCAACAGGGUGUCGAGUUUACAUCAGAGGCAAAGGAUCAAUAAAGGAUUCCGAAAAGGAAGAAAAAUUGAAAGGAAGACCAGGGUAUGAGCAUCUUAAUGAGCCACUGCACAUAUUAAUCGAGGCUGAGUUACCUGUUGAUAUUAUUGAUUCAAGGCUGAGACAGGCUCGUGAGAUCAUAGAAGAAUUGCUGAAACCUGUGGAUGAGUCUCAGGACCAUUACAAGAGGCAGCAACUGCGUGAGUUGGCAUUCUUGAACUCAACAUUCAGAGAAGAUAGCCCCUGCCCAAGCGGCAGCUUAUCUCCCUUCAAUAACAGUGGUAUGAAACGAGCAAAGACGGGUCGGUAAACAUCCUCAUUUCCUUUUUGGUGAAUGCAACUCCACAAUGGCUACGCCCUUAGCUUUUCUCAACAGCUGAAAUCUCACUGCGAAUGCGAUUUGAGGUGAUGAAGUGAGAAUUUCCAUAUGAGGAUUUGAGGUGAUGCUUUACUUUGUUUUUGUUUUCAUCGAGCCUAGACGUGUACGAACUGUUGUUCAUGAGUUCGGGUUAAAUAAGGCAGCUGUUCGCCACUGACUGAACAAGUUACUAAUCAGGGCUGGCUGUUCCUAAUGAAUAACCUGCUGUCCACCGAAUGCCUUUGGUAGUUUAAGUGCUUGCAUUUGUUUGUGAAUUUUAUGAUGAUUACACUUACAUGUGGGUGUGUAUAAUUUGUAUAUCAUCAUGUUUAUGUUAGGAAAGGGGCUGGAUCAUGGUGGUAGCAUCUCCACACUUAGUUACUACAUCGUGGUAUCUAUUCUUACCGUUGAUGUUUUCAAUUAACACUUUCAAAAUGUAACUCCUUAAUCUAUUACCCAAAAAAAGAAAAAUGUUUAUGUUUUUU
RNA transcript from Amborella trichopoda, 1700 nucleotides. It is a transcript of the gene named RNA-binding KH domain-containing protein, with no coding region annotated. The record is from RefSeq and is a predicted model, not a curated record. NCBI's taxonomy places the organism in Eukaryota, Viridiplantae, Streptophyta, Magnoliopsida, Amborellales, Amborellaceae.